GACGUAGGGCGCGAGCGUUGUCCGGAUUUAUUGGGCGUAAAGAGCUCGUAGGCGGCUCAUUGCGUCAACCGUGAAAACCUGCCGCUCAACGGUAGGCUUGCGGUUGAUACGGGUGGGCUGGAGUUCGGUAGGGGAGACUGGAAUUCCUGGUGUAGCGGUGAAAUGCGCAGAUAUCAGGAGGAACACCGGUGGCGAAGGCGGGUCUCUGGGCCGAUACUGACGCUGAGGCACGAAAGUGUGGGGAUCAAACAGG
Molecule: ribosomal RNA, 253 nt
Filed under: uncultured bacterium
Lineage: Bacteria
Description: partial 16S ribosomal RNA
Rfam family: Bacterial small subunit ribosomal RNA
Source: RNAcentral